RNAcentral lists this ribosomal RNA (274 nucleotides) under uncultured bacterium. RNAcentral's name for it is "partial 16S ribosomal RNA". It matches the Rfam family "Bacterial small subunit ribosomal RNA", at positions 523 to 796 of the family's 1533-position model. The record is from RNAcentral.
AUACGGAGGGUGCAAGCGUUGUCCGGAGUUAUUGGGUUUAAAGGGUCCGUAGGCGGGAAUCUAAGUCAGUGGUGAAAUCUUGCAGCUCAACUGUAAAAUUGCCAUUGAUACUGGAUUUCUUGAAUUAGUGUGAUGUGGUUAGAAUGUGUAGUGUAGCGGUGAAAUGCAUAGAUAUUACACAGAAUACCAAUUGCGAAGGCAGAUCACUAACACUAUAUUGACGCUGAGGGACGAAAGCGUGGGGAGCGAACAGGAUUAGAUACCCCGGUAGUCC